GCUGUAGCUCAGUGGCAGAGCGCUUGCCUAGCAUGUGUGAGGCACUGGGUUCGAUCCUUAGCACUGCA
RNAcentral lists this transfer RNA (68 nucleotides) under Marmota monax (woodchuck). RNAcentral describes it as "tRNA.Ala". The record is from RNAcentral. Lineage: Eukaryota; Metazoa; Chordata; Mammalia; Rodentia; Sciuridae.